GCGCACCAGGCGCGAAACUUCACACUGUGCGAAAGCACGAUGAGGGAAUCCCAAGUGCUUGCACGUAAGUGUAAGCUGUUUCUCUGUUUAAAACGCAGAGAGAGUAAGGCGUGGGUAAGACGGGUGCCAGCCGCCGCGGUAAUACCUGCAGCUCCAAGGUGGUGACCGUUAUUAUUGGGCCUAAAACGUCCGUAGCCGGUUUAAUAAAUGCCUAGGGUAAAUCGUGUAGACUUAACUA
RNAcentral lists this ribosomal RNA (238 nucleotides) under uncultured microorganism. RNAcentral describes it as "partial 16S ribosomal RNA". It matches the Rfam family "Archaeal small subunit ribosomal RNA", at positions 330 to 565 of the family's 1478-position model. The record is from RNAcentral.